Molecule: ribosomal RNA, 484 nt
Filed under: uncultured bacterium
Lineage: Bacteria
Description: partial 16S ribosomal RNA
Rfam family: Bacterial small subunit ribosomal RNA
Source: RNAcentral
AUUGAACGCUGGCGGCAGGCCUAACACAUGCAAGUCGUGCGGAUGAAGGGAGCUUGCUCCUGGAUUCAGCGGCGGACGGGUGAGUAAUGCCUAGGAAUCUGCCUGGUAGUGGGGGAUAACGUCCGGAAACGGGCGCUAAUACCGCAUACGUCCUGAGGGAGAAAGUGGGGGAUCUUCGGACCUCACGCUAUCAGAUGAGCCUAGGUCGGAUUAGCUAGUUGGUGGGGUAAAGGCCUACCAAGGCGACGAUCCGUAACUGGUCUGAGAGGAUGAUCAGUCACACUGGAACUGAGACACGGUCCAGACUCCUACGGGAGGCAGCAGUGGGGAAUAUUGGACAAUGGGCGAAAGCCUGAUCCAGCCAUGCCGCGUGUGUGAUGAAGGUCUUCGGAUUGUAAAGCACUUUAAGUUGGGAGGAAGGGCAGUAAGUUAAUACCUUGCUGUUUUGACGUUACCAACAGAAUAAGCACCGGCUAACUUCGUG